RNAcentral lists this ribosomal RNA (133 nucleotides) under Anchoviella lepidentostole (broadband anchovy). RNAcentral describes it as "partial 16S ribosomal RNA". The record is from RNAcentral. Lineage: Eukaryota; Metazoa; Chordata; Actinopteri; Clupeiformes; Engraulidae.
GCCACAAAGCUAGCUCAACUCCAAUAACAAAAUUUAUAAUAUAAAUAACUACUUAAAUACCUAAAAAUAAAAACCAAACCAUUUGACCUUCCCAGUAUGGGUGACAAAAAAGAAUUUUCUGAAGCAUAGACAA